UUCCAAGGAGAGUCUUUCUCCAGAGACAAAUCAUGUACCCCAGGAAAUGUAGCCACUUAGAAAAAUAUCUGGUACUCUUGAGAAUAUUGCAGAUGAGCAAAAAUGUGCUGUUUUUACUCUCCUUAAAUUAUCAGUAUAC
RNAcentral lists this small nucleolar RNA (139 nucleotides) under Vicugna pacos (alpaca). RNAcentral describes it as "Small nucleolar RNA SNORA67 (ENSVPAG00000015665.1)". Lineage: Eukaryota; Metazoa; Chordata; Mammalia; Artiodactyla; Camelidae. The record is from RNAcentral.